RNAcentral lists this ribosomal RNA (301 nucleotides) under uncultured bacterium. RNAcentral describes it as "partial 16S ribosomal RNA". It matches the Rfam family "Bacterial small subunit ribosomal RNA", at positions 509 to 809 of the family's 1533-position model. The record is from RNAcentral.
CAGCAGCCGCGGUAAAACGUAGGUGGCAAGCGUUGUCCGGAAUUAUUGGGCGUAAAGGGCUCGCAGGCGGUUUCUUAAGUCUGAUGUGAAAGCCCCCGGCUCAACCGGGGAGGGUCAUUGGAAACUGGGAAACUUGAGUGCAGAAGAGGAGAGUGGAAUUCCACGUGUAGCGAUGAAAUGCGUAGAGAUGUGGAGGAACACCAGUGGCGAAGGCGACUCUCUGGUCUGUAACUGACGCUGAGGAGCGAAAGCGUGGGGAGCGAACAGGAUUAGAUACCCCAGUAGUCCCUGUCUCUUAUAA